UAGCAGACGAGUGUUAUUCAUCUUUAAUAGGUUUAUGGGGUACUUAGACGGUAAAUCAAGCCUCAAAAAGGGACUAGUUUGCUAGAGUUUUAUGUGAGGAAGUAUUAAGGUACUGGUGGUGUAGAGAUGAAAUUCGAUGAUACCUUGAAUGGCACAGGUAUAGGCGAAAGCAUCUUCUUAUGUAAUAACUGACGUUAAAAGACGAAGGCUUUGUGUCUCGAACAGGAUUAGAUACCCUAGUAGUCAAAGCAGACAAUGAUGAAUGUCAUAGAUUGGAUUUAAAUUUAUUUAAUCUAUAAAUGAAAGUGUAAGCAUUCCACCUUAAGAGUAAUUUGGCAACAUUGGAACUGAAAUCAUUAGACCGUUUCUGAGACCAGUAGUGAAGUAUGUUGUUUAAUUUGAUGAUCCGCAAAAAACCUUACCACAACAUGAAUAGAUAAUUUUUAUCAUACAAGCGUUGCACGGCUGUCUUUAGUUAAUGUCGUGAGACUUUGGUUAGUUCCAUUAAAUUAACG
RNAcentral lists this ribosomal RNA (515 nucleotides) under Megalospora tuberculosa. RNAcentral describes it as "mitochondrial SSU rRNA". It matches the Rfam family "Bacterial small subunit ribosomal RNA", at positions 528 to 1098 of the family's 1533-position model. Lineage: Eukaryota; Fungi; Ascomycota; Lecanoromycetes; Teloschistales; Megalosporaceae. The record is from RNAcentral.